AUUGAACGGCUGGCGGCAUGCCUUACACAUGCAAGUCGAACGGUAACGCGGGGCAACCUGGCGACGAGUGGCGAACGGGUGAGUAAUACAUCGGAACGUGCCCAGUAGUGGGGGAUAGCCCGGCGAAAGCCGGAUUAAUACCGCAUACGACCUACGGGUGAAAGGGGGGGAUCGCAAGACCUCUCGCUAUUGGAGCGGCCGAUGUCAGAUUAGGUAGUUGGUGGGGUAAAGGCCUACCAAGCCUACGAUCUGUAGCUGGUCUGAGAGGACGACCAGCCACACUGGGACUGAGACACGGCCCAGACUCCUACGGGAGGCAGCAGUGGGGAAUUUUGGACAAUGGGCGCAAGCCUGAUCCAGCCAUGCCGCGUGCGGGAAGAAGGCCUUCGGGUUGUAAACCGCUUUUGUCAGGGAAGAAACGCUCUGAGCUAAUACCUCGGGGUAAUGACGGUACCUGAAGAAUAAGCACCGGCUAACUACGUG
RNAcentral lists this ribosomal RNA (483 nucleotides) under uncultured bacterium. Its description in RNAcentral is "bacterial SSU rRNA". It matches the Rfam family "Bacterial small subunit ribosomal RNA", at positions 35 to 507 of the family's 1533-position model. The record is from RNAcentral.